This 107-nucleotide ribosomal RNA is filed under the name uncultured bacterium. Its description in RNAcentral is "partial 16S ribosomal RNA". It matches the Rfam family "Bacterial small subunit ribosomal RNA", at positions 1369 to 1482 of the family's 1533-position model. The record is from RNAcentral.
CGUUCCCGGACCUUGUACACACCGCCCGUCAAGCCAUGGAAGCCGGGGGUACCUGAAGAUGGUGACUUCACAGGGAGCUAUCUAAGGUAAAACUGGUGACUGGGGCU